Molecule: long non-coding RNA, 1949 nt
Organism: Antechinus flavipes (yellow-footed antechinus)
Lineage: Eukaryota; Metazoa; Chordata; Mammalia; Dasyuromorphia; Dasyuridae
Exons: 2
Source: RefSeq, a predicted model, not a curated record
UUCAUUCUCUGAUCAGGAGAUUUCUGCAGGAAUAGGGAUAAAGAGUGGGCAAGUUAGCCAAUUAAUAGCUUGUGGAAAGAGAAGCAUAACCUGUAGCCUUUCCUGGUAUUGCAAACCUCUUAGGGCAUAUUAUAUGCCAUAGUAUAAAAAGGGUUGGAUUUUUGAUUCAGUGGAUAUGGAUUUGAACUUAAGCUUUUCUGCUUACAAGCUCUAUGACAUGGAGUGUUACUUCAUCUCUUGUGGUUUCAAUUUUUUUUCCUACAUACAACAACCAGGAUACCCCUCUCAUUGAUGACCAUCCAGGUCCUAGGAACUCUGCAGAUCUGUAUGACUAACUCUCAAGCCCCCACUGAAGUGUUACCUUUUUUCAGCAACAAGGGCUAUUUCUCACAAGUGGCUGCUCCAAAUUCUAGGAACCUUAUGGAUCUGCAUGAAUGGAACUCACAAGCCCCCACUAAUUUUUUAAUUUUUGUUUCUUUUAUCCCUUCUAGUGAACUAGAGAACAUAAUUAGUAUAAACUUCAGAGGCUCUUUAACCUUGGGUCCAUAAAUUUAAAAAUGUAUUUAAUAUAUUUCAAUGUAUUUGAAAUGUAUUUCAAUAUAAUUGAUCUCCUUUGUAACUUAUGUAUUUAAGAACAUUAUUCCAAAGAGAUCCAUAAGCUUCAUUAAACUGCCAAAGAGUUCCAGGACACAUACUAAAAAAAAAAAAAAAAAUUGAUAACUUGUAGUUUAAAGAAAAGCAAUCUAAUGCUUUUCUAAUAAUAAAAUAAAGUAAUAUAAGUAACAAAAUAUUUCUUGCCAUAAACCUAGAGCAAAUUAUCCCUCAAAUACAAGCACCAUCAAGUGGGAAGAAUGGAUAUCUGUAAGAAACACUUGAGAAACACAGAUAUAAAGAACCAGUGUAUGGAAUAUGCAUGUUGGAGGGGAUAAUGCACAUACAAAAAGACAUAGAGAACACACAUGGGUGAGUCUAGUUCUGCCCAAAUCAAUAAACAUAUGGAAGGAAGGAAGGAGAUGGAGAAGAAAAAGAGAACUUAAUCAAAUGGCAGAAUGGGGAAAGCAUUUGAAUCUAGCAUUUGGUCAAAUCCUGCCCUUUAUCUCUUGUAAUACGACCAUGGAGAAGACAGUUUUUCUCUCUGAGCUUCAGAUCCCUCAGCUAUAAACAGGGAUAAUAAUAUUUAACCUACCUACAUUACAAAGUUCUUGUAAGUAAUGCUCUUUUUUUUUCCUUUUUAUCCUGAAGCAGCAUAGAAAUAUAAACUGUUUUCUUUGCUUCAUUAAAGCACUUGCAAUAGUACUCCUUUAAAUCGAGUCUUUUGUCUUGAGGUAAUAAAAAAUCAAUUUACACAAAAUUUGUGGGAAUAUAUAUGGAAUCAAAGUUUAGACCAAAGAAAAGAAAACCCUAUGUGGGACUAGCAAGUUUAUCACCUUGGAUAAAUUGAGAUCUCUAGGCCUUGCUUUCCUCAUUUGUAAAAUGAAGGGGUUGGAAUGCGUGGUUUUUUUUCUUGCUUUGUCUUCUAUUUCUAUGAUUCUGUGAUUAAUGAUCUAAAUUCUUCUAGUUAUUAUUUUUUAAACAUUAUGGUCUUCUAGUAUAGAAGCUGUGUGUUUAUUUCAGCAGUUAAAAUUACCUUAUUACUUUCUUUCUUUAUCUGCACCAGAACAUAUCUAAUGUUAAUCUUAGAUAUAGCUAUUAUAAGUCUUCUUCUCACAGUUUAUCUUGCCACUUCUCACAAAAAUGUCUCCCAGGAUUCAUCAUCUUCUAUGAUCCUUUCUUAAAGUUAUCUGAGGUGAAAUCAAUUAAAAUAAAGCUCACAUUAAUAAAUAAGUGCUAUUUAAUAUUAUUGCUCUUAUUUGUUUACUAUAUUUAAUAAUAUCAAUGUUGUUGUGUAUAAGAUAUUCUAUGCAGAAUCAGGGGUACAAAGACAAAAAUAAAGAAUUCCAUACCCUCAA